AUUAACAUGUCAGAGUAGUGAGUCAAAUUUAAGUUUUGUUUAUGGGUUUCCUGUUAAUU
Molecule: transfer RNA, 59 nt
Filed under: Macracanthorhynchus hirudinaceus (giant thorny-headed worm)
Lineage: Eukaryota; Metazoa; Acanthocephala; Archiacanthocephala; Oligacanthorhynchida; Oligacanthorhynchidae
Description: transfer RNA-Leu
Source: RNAcentral